GGGAACGUACCUUUUGGUUCGGAACAACACAGGGAAACUUGUGCUAAUACCGGAUAAGCCCUUACGGGGAAAGAUUUAUCGCCGAAAGAUCGGCCCGCGUCUGAUUAGCUAGUUGGUAGGGUAACGGCCUACCAAGGCGACGAUCAGUAGCUGGUCUGAGAGGAUGAUCAGCCACAUUGGGACUGAGACACGGCCCAAACUCCUACGGGAGGCAGCAGUGGGGAAUAUUGGACAAUGGGGGCAACCCUGAUCCAGCCAUGCCGCGUGAGUGAUGAAGGCCCUAGGGUUGUAAAGCUCUUUUGUGCGGGAAGAUAAUGACGGUACCGCAAGAAUAAGCCCCGGCUAACUUCGUGCCAGCAGCCGCGGUAAUACGAAGGGGGCUAGCGUUGCUCGGAAUCACUGGGCGUAAAGGGUGCGUAGGCGGGUCUUUAAGUCAGGGGUGAAAUCCUGGAGCUCAACUCCAGAACUGCCUUUGAUACUGAAGAUCUUGAGUUCGGGAGAGGUGAGUGGAACUGCGAGU
Molecule: ribosomal RNA, 520 nt
Filed under: uncultured bacterium
Lineage: Bacteria
Description: bacterial SSU rRNA
Rfam family: Bacterial small subunit ribosomal RNA
Source: RNAcentral